CGUAAGGUUUUAAUAAAAACCACCAAAUCUUAAUAGAGCAGGAUU
This is a non-coding RNA of Podiceps cristatus (great crested grebe), 45 nucleotides long. Lineage: Eukaryota; Metazoa; Chordata; Aves; Podicipediformes; Podicipedidae. The record is from Rfam.